GUGUACAAUCAACAACAACAUCAAUCAACGGCUUCAACCCGAAUCCAACCCAGCAAAGCUGACCCAACAUCUAAUUCUGACCCGACCCUGAUACCUACAUCAACGAUAACACCAACAACUUAAUCCGGCACCCUGAAACCCGGCGAUCCGCCGACCCGAACCCGCGAUAAACACAACAUUAUCCAUCAACAACCAAGGGAGUCCUAAAGUGUCAUUUGCGUGUGAUUGAUGAGCCAUCCGCUUCUAGAAGAGUUUAGAAACUGUCCAGCUGUCUCUUUUAAUGGUAUAAUAUCUCACCAUCAUCCGAUUCAUACAGAGGUAGAAGGUGGAUAUUAAUUCUAUUUUGAAAUUUUGAAAUCCUCUCCUGGAAUUUCUAUCUGAUUUUUCCAUCCCACAUCGAAAGGAAAAAGGGCUGGACUCUAAAGUUUUUCCUAUAUAUACUCUUACUAUUUUCGUUGAAAGGGGAAAAAGGGGAAAAACCCUUUGAGCAAAAAUCAGUAAAUUUUUAUUUUAGUAAAAUUUUAGAAGCCGUCGAUUUGAUCGGAAUUCUCGAAGGACCUAUUUUCGGUGGUGGUGUCUCCCGACGUUAGCUUGAGGUCCUGUUUUGCUGCCCCGAAGAAGGUAAACUUCUUUCUACACAUUCUUUAUGACGUUCUUUUUUUCAUCUCUUUCUCCGUAUUGAUAGGCGUAUAGUCGUAAUCAAAGUGGCUGUGGGACUGUUUGCUGUAGUUGGCUUCGAUGGCCGUAGGAUUUGUCUGAAGUGUUUGGCGUUAUGUCAUUUGAUGAGCCAUUAUUUUACAUUUUUGUUUUCAUUACUACUUUUGUAAUCUUUGGUUUGAUGGCAAUAGUACUCCGAUCAUGGAUACCUUUUAAAUAAGUUUACAAUAUGCUUAUGUAGUAUCUACAUUGCAACUCAUCAUAUGCUCUUUGGUAUCAAACAUGUUAUUUACACUUAAGUGCAAACAAAGUACUUAAGUGCAAACAAAGUUUACAUCAAGACAUUUCUUGCUUAAUAUGUUGUUCGACUAUCUGAAUGCACCUUUGUUCUUCUUAUUAGCCUUUUCUACAUUUUUCUUUUCCAGCGACCGAGCAUGAUUAAGCUCGUUCUAUGCUUUCUUUCCUUUAAAUGGUUGUAGGUUACGUAUUUUAUUUUCUUAUUCCUUGACCAUGUGGGGUUUUCCGAAUGGACUUCCCUUCCUUUGCAUUUCUAAGAGGACAAUGAGGCGCCUCUUUUCGAGUCAAACUUUGAGGGAAAAGUUUUUAAAAGUUGACCAUGUGGCAUACCGAAUGCAAUGCAAGGAGUCGAAAGAAGAAGAAAUGGACUAAAGUCUCAUCCUUGAAGCAGCUAAGAUACUUGAAAGUCCUAUUUCUUCAUUUAUUCAUUUGUAUUAUUGUCUUUAUUUAUUUAUUUCAUUGUUUAUUCAUUUGGGCCUCGAAACCAAAGUUGUAAAUUUAAUACAGGUGGAGCAGAUUUUGGGUCAAUGGGCCUGAAAAAAUAGUUUAGACAGGUUAUGGGCUAAGGCCCAACAUUUAGAUUACGACAGGUGCAAGUGGGUCAAAAACUUAAUUAGAUUAAGAUAGGGUCUAUUGAUUUGGGCCCAAUGGUCUAAGUCCUUUAUUUCCUCCCCUUCCCCUUUUACAUGCUUUGUUAUUAAUUUAUUUAGACUUAGUUAAAAUUUCUACUAAGUCGUCCAAAUUUAUUUUACAUAAGCCUUUUCCUAAAAUCAAUCACUUAUCAACAAUCAAUUUUUUUGAAGUUAGUCAAAAGAUAUUUUCAAACAGUUCGGAUAACUGUAAGUUAGCGGACGUUUUAGGUGCCUUAAAACCUUCCUAAAAUGUUAAUGGGAACUGCUUACCUAGAAUUUCUAACUUAAAUGAUUUUUCUAUUUUGAACCACCUAAAUACUUUACAAAGAUUUUCUCAAUCUCAAAAGUCAAAAUUUUUGUAAAACAGAAAUGACGACUUUGUUGGGGAUUCUAAUUAAGUUUUAACCAAAUGUUUGACUUUAUCUUUGAUUAACUGUUUAAAUUGCUUACAUGUUUAUAUGUUUUGAUUUUGCAGAAUUUAAUUAUUGCAUCUCAUACAUAGCAUAAUCUCACAUUUGUUAUUAAUUUAUUUUGGGGUUUCAUAG
RNAcentral lists this long non-coding RNA (2131 nucleotides) under Capsicum annuum. RNAcentral's name for it is "long non-coding RNA (CANN_LNC009781)". The record is from RNAcentral. Lineage: Eukaryota; Viridiplantae; Streptophyta; Magnoliopsida; Solanales; Solanaceae.